AGGCUUAACACAUGCAAGUCGAGGGGUCUUGAUAGAGCUUGCUCUUGAUAGACGACCGGCGCACGGGUGAGUAACGCGUAUCCAACCUGCCCUUCAUAUUGGGAUAGCCUUCCGAAAGGGAGAUUAAUACCGAAUAACAUGUAAAAGUUGCAUGAUCUUUACAUGAAAGCUCCGGCGAUGAAGGAUGGGGAUGCGUUUCAUUAGGUAGUAGGCGGGGUAACGGCCCACCUAGCCAACGAUGAAUAGGGGUUCUGAGAGGAAGGUCCCCCACACUGGAACUGAGACACGGUCCAGACUCCUACGGGAGGCAGCAGUGAGGAAUAUUGGUCAAUGGCCGGAAGGCUGAACCAGCCAAGUAGCGUGAAGGAUGAAGGUUCUAUGGAUUGUAAACUUCUUUUAUACGGGAAUAAAACCUCCCACGUGUGGGAGCUUGAAUGUACCGUAUGAAUAAGCAUCGGCUAACUCCGUGCCAGCAGCCGCGGUAAUACGGAGGAUGCGAGCGUUAUCCGGAUUUAUUGGGUUUAAAGGGAGCGUAGACGGGAGAUUAAGUCAGUUGUGAAAGGCUGCGGCUCAACCGCAGCACUGCAGUUGAUACUGGUUUCCUUGAGUUCGGUUGAGGUGUAUGGAAUUCGUGGUGUAGCGGUGAAAUGCUUAGAUAUCACGAAGAACUCCGAUUG
RNAcentral lists this ribosomal RNA (677 nucleotides) under uncultured Bacteroidota bacterium. Its description in RNAcentral is "bacterial SSU rRNA". It matches the Rfam family "Bacterial small subunit ribosomal RNA", at positions 44 to 715 of the family's 1533-position model. The record is from RNAcentral. Lineage: Bacteria; Pseudomonadati; Bacteroidota.